UUAUAACGCUUUCAGUUGCCACAGUUGUUUCUGCACUUUGAACUUGCCUUAAAUGUGGAAUCUGCUGUUCUAACAUCAGUAGCGAGGGAAGUUCCUGUUUUUUUUCGAUUCCCCGGAGGGUAAUUGCCUCUCCUUCCGCAGCGCGCAGUUGCCAGCUGCCAGGCUGCCCCGAGGGCUUUGAAGUGGAAGGCGCCCCAGGGCUUUCUUCCCGUCGGCUGGUGCCCGCGGUGGAGAGGAGGGCGAGGGCUCUCCUUCAACCUCGCCUGUCUCCUGCCUCUCGUUCUUCUUAAAGAAGCCAGGUGGCGCCAACUCUCAACCCCUGCAACAGCUGGAGGAUCUCCCUGCUUGCUCACAGUAGAGAGAGGAGGUGGAAGGAAGAGCACUGUCCUGGGCAGCCGCUUUCUCUCUGCGCCCUCCGCCCUUUGGAAUUGGAGCUUUGCUUUUUUCUUCUUCCGCACCCCUCGCAGGAGGACGGCAAGCCUAAAGGGAAACGAGGUGUCCUGUGUGCCACAUGGAGCUUGGGGAACGGAAAUAAUUAAAGCCAUGAGGUUUCCUGGCUCUUCGCAGUGUUUACGAGGGGAGAGGAAGUGAUGAAGAGGAUUAACACUCUGCUUCUAAUUCUGGCCAACUUGGAGGCCCUGAAUGGAAAAUCAGAAGUGACAGGAAUUCUGGAAGAGGGCCACCUGGCCAUCAGAAAAUUCCAGAGGGAUGUGGUCACUGCCAGACACACACUCGGUUGAUCUCAUCCAAAUGGAUGGAGAGAAACUAAUUAGCUUCAAAACAUCAAUUUUCAGAAAUUAUCAGCUAAUAAAGAAUAUCAGUCUUGAAACGAACAACAUGGUUCGCACCCACUUCAAACAUUGUUUAAAAUCUCAUUUGUUAUUUUGUACUGUGGUCUCACUUAAAAGCCAGCAUUACUGAGACUGCGGAGCACAUACCUUGAAUUCCCAGGAUGAGAGGGGAAAGAGAGAGCAACAGCAAGACAGAGGGAGAACUAAAACUGAGACGCUCCACAACAGACGUGUGAGAAAAACAAGAAAAUUCAGAAGUUGUACAGGCAGCUGAAGUCUCUAGACACGAGAAAACUGGAAACUGCCCAAAGCUGGGCUCAGUAGAGUAUAGAAAUGUGAUGAAGACCAGGACUGGUUUUUUUUUUCCAACAAGAGGUUAGUUACUUAAGGACCACAUUCCCAGGAUUACAAGGAUUUGCCUGAAUAGCCCAGGGAACACUUUUCUCCAGUAGAAUUAGUGAAAUGAAGAGAUGGGACUCUGUGUGAGCUGCCUAUUACGUGAGACUGUAUUUAGAACUUGAAAUUAACACUGGGAGUAAUCAUAUUAAAUUGAUAUCAGCAGAUGAAAGCUAUAUGAAGUAGGAAUUAUGUUUUUUCUAAUUAGCUUAAAUUUUCAGAUACUAAAAUCCAGGUGUCUGGGGGAGCCAAACCCAGUUACUUGGGCUUAGCGUCAUUCCUUGAAAGAAAAACAAAAACAAGACCAUGUGCUGAAUAUCUCAGGCCAGAAGCUCAAUCAUAUUCAUUCAGCUCAGCUUCUUUCCUCCAUGUUCAAAUAGAAAAAUAGUCACUUACAACUGGGAACUGCUUCUGCGUGGGCUGUGCAGCCUUGGAAGGGGAGAGUGUCCCAGCUUCCUGUAGGUGUGUGCUCUGCUGAUGCCCCUCCUCUCUGACGCUGAGCGGGAGCAUUUUGUGAAUGACAGAAGGAAAGCAUUUACCUAACAGGGAAGAGAAGAUAGAAAUGACACUUUCCUGUUCCUGGUGCAGUGAAUGUUUUCCCCCUUUUUCUAAGAAAGCUCCGAGUCGCACCUUUGUAAAGAAUUCAACUUGCAGACCACACAUGCUUCAGGCCAUCACUUACUCAGCAGCUCGUUGCAGCAGGGUGGCCUCACUCUGAAAGCUACAGUAAGUAUAGGCAUAGGAUAAGACAGUUACAGGCACUGAACUACAUUUUUCAUUUCUCUUGCGGAAGAGACCUUGGCUGGAAGGACCAAAGGAAGCAGUGUCUGAAGCUUCCACCUUUUAUCUGCUGGUUCAUUUGAAUAAAAUUACAUGGAGUGGUGCCAUUUUCAACUUCAAAUUCUUAUAGAUUGGGCAGGCAAUUUCUUCCUUCUGUCCCAGGUAAAAUAAAGAAUGAACAGAUAAGGCAUCACUUGAGAUGCUAAUUGAAUGGAAUUGAAUGAUGGAAAUUCUCAUACAAGUGAAAAAUUAGGAUAGAAUGUUAUUACGAAUACUCCAAGGGACUGAAUAGCCUUUAGACAGCUGAAGGGAAUGUAAGGAUGGCUUUUUAUAUCAGACUGGAGAGUCAGUGUACAAGAAAUGUAACUUUAUGAUGCAACUACAAUUCUAUUUCAAGCUGUCAUUCAGGACCUUUUCUGUCCCUGGUGUCAACAAACGAAUUCUGGGAUGGUUUACACAGAGCCAAGACAUUGGAGAGGCUCACCUGGUUCUUGGAUGUUGUCUGUCCACUCAGAGGACACUGUGUUGCACAUCAGCCUGGGUUGUCACUGGUCAUAAAUUCAGUCCCUUCAGCUCCAUCUGCCAACCCUUCAGUUCCCAUGCCUCUUCCCUACCACUCUUGGGCACACACCAAUUAUUCUGCCCUUCUCGGACCCACUGGGACCUGGGGAUUUUGUGAGGCUAAGACCUGGAUGGCCAAGAUAUAACACAGAGCCGUAGUUUCCAUCUUCAGAAUUCUUGCCAUCCUCAGGGCUUUACCCAGGAAGUGAGGUGCAAAUUCUUCCUGUGUUACAUCUGUGAAGAUCUGGCCACUUCCCGAGAACAGGGUGCAGGGCCCUGUCUCAGGAACCCAUCCGGUCUGCCUCUCAGGCUUGCCUCUUUUACUGCUUCUCCCAGCCUGAGGAAUCCUUUUUUGGUACUAAGGGCAGAGAAGACUUGCUUUCAAUGUCAGACCUCCUCUGCCACUGAGUGAGUUUGUUUUUGUUUUUUUUAAUUGUGGUAAAAUAUACUUAGCAUAAAAUUUACCAUUUUAACCAUUUUUCAGUAGCAUUAAGUACGUUCUCAUUGUUGUUUGACCAUCACCACCAUCCAUCUUCAGGACUUUUUCACCUUCUGAAACUGAACCUCUGUCCCCAUUAAACAACAGCUCCUCAUUCCUCACUCCCCUCAGCCCCUGGCGCCACCAUUCUGCUUUCCAUAUGGAUUUGACUGCUCUAGGUGCCUCAUAUAAAUGGAAUUGUACAAGAUUUGCCCUUUUGUGAUCGGUUUACUUCACUUAACAUGUCUUUAAGCCUCAUUUUUGUUGUAGCAUAUGUCAUAAUUUACUUCCUUUUUAAGGGUGAAUAAUAUUUCAUUGUAUGUAUAUGCCACAUUUUGUUUAUCUGUUCAUCUGUCGAUGAUCAUUUUGGUUGUUUCCAUCUUUGGGCUAUCAUGAAUAAUUCUGUUAUCUGACUCUUUUCUGACGCCUUAAGACCUUGUCUCUGGAAACUCAAAAUCCUGGGCGAGGUUCUUUUUUCUCUGUCUUGCUGUCACAUCCUUCCUUGAGUCAAUAAGUAGAGAAUGGCCUAAUUUAAUUGACUGCAGGGGACAAGGUGGGGGGGGGGGAGAUUAUAUUUCAAAAUAUUAACUACCAUACAAGGAUUUCUCAUCUUGUUUACUUUCUUCUUUUGAGUAAAUAUGAAUGUUUGUGAUCUUUAUUUUCUUGUCAGACAAAUUUAGGUUUUUAAAAAGGCCUUAGACUUGCAUACAACAUGUCCUUCAAAACAUAUGAACAGAAAAAAAGAAAAUUACAGGCCUAUAUCCCUGAUGAACAUAGAUGGAAAAAUC
Molecule: non-coding RNA, 3794 nt
Organism: Equus caballus (horse)
Lineage: Eukaryota; Metazoa; Chordata; Mammalia; Perissodactyla; Equidae
Source: RefSeq, a predicted model, not a curated record